This 1107-nucleotide long non-coding RNA is filed under the name Oryctolagus cuniculus (rabbit). Its description in RNAcentral is "lncRNA (ENSOCUG00000031051.1)". Lineage: Eukaryota; Metazoa; Chordata; Mammalia; Lagomorpha; Leporidae. The record is from RNAcentral.
AUGGCAACCCCCAGUGACACCACAUCCCAUCGCCUGGACAUCUUUUUUUUUUAUUUAAUUAAUUUAUUUGAAAGGCAGAACUACAGAGAGGCAGAGGCAGAGAGACAGGGAGAGGUCUUCCAUUCACUGGUUCAUUCUCCAAAUGGUUGCAACAUCUGGAGCUGGGCUGAUCUGAAGCCAAGAGCUUCUUCAGGGUCUCCCACCUGGGUACAGGGGCCCAAGCACUUGGGCUGUCUUCUACUGCUUUCCCAGACCAUAAGCAGAGAGCUGGAUCAGAAGAGGAGCAGCUGGGACAUGAAAUGGCACCCAUAUGCGAUGCCAGCACUGCAGGCGGUUCUGCCUGCUACACCACAGCACCAGACCCCUCACUGGGACAUGUUAAGGCACAGACUUUGCAAGGGGGCCAUUCAGACUGAAAGCCAGGCCUGGGCUCUAACUUGUGCUCGGGGCCCAGGGACACAGGGAAGGCUGUGUGCUGAGAGACAAGUGACAAAGCAGCCACUAUCAGGGAGCCCGGAACUUAGUCCCAGAGGCUGUAGAGGCAGAGAAAGGCCACGCUCAGGGCCUUGGCCACCCACUGCUGGUUUUCUUCCCUUCCUCUUCUGGCUGAACCCACCUGCAGAGGAUUCUGUUUCAAUAACAAACACCCGUUGGAGCAGCGCUGGAGUUGCUACUGUCAGGGGCUUUGUUUGUAAGCUGCUGGGCCCAGCAGAGGUCAGCUGCUGUUCUGGCCCCAGGCAUGGGCUGCAGAACUCUGCAAGUGUUGAGGUCAUGAGAGCAUGCCUCUGGUUCUCCCCCGGUCGGGGGCAACUUGUCAGAGCUGAUUACACCAGCACAGGUCAACUGGAGACAGAGGAUCACAGAGGAUCACUUCUGUGUCCAGUGCUGCCCACAGGGUCUGUGCCGUCAGAGUGUCCCUGUGGUGUCAGGGGACGCCUACCCUGUGAAGCCGCACAACUGGAACUUCCCAAGGCCUGUGCGCCACUGCCAGCCCAGGGUCGGGCCCUGAGAGGAAAGGCCAGUAAACAAUUGUGGCGCAGCAGCCUGGGUAUCAGCACGGAUUUGAAGCAGAGAUUCUUUCAUAGGUCUGGUAUUAAGGCAAAAUAA